CAGGAUUUCUUCAAAGAAGUUAAAAUUUAUACCAAAUAUGUUUGACUCCAUUAAAUGUUAUGAAGAAGCUACUUCUACAUUAGCUAAAUAUUCAGCUCCCAUAAACGGAAUCUUCUAUCACCAUUAACUUACAGACAGAAAAAAUUAGAAAACUGAUAGAAACAUAAAAGACUGGGAUCUGAAAAGCUUACCUUAGAUUUUCAUCACUUAAAGAUAGGAUUGGACAUAUUCUUACAGAAAGCAUUUCUGAAAUGAGAGACACCAGCAGUAAACUGAAUGGAAAGGAUGCCUUCGUCCUCACAGCCUCCUCCUGAGCAUCCAGCAACACGUAAGAAGCCCGUGAGACUCUUGGCCCUUUCUUGAACUUAUGAAAAAAAGAAAAGUUCUUGGAUAUUACGAACUUAUGAGGCUCACCAAAUAUCCAGAUAUCCGGAAACCAUAAGCAAAUACCUUCAUGUAUGUGUCUAAGUAGUUAUUCAUGGCAGUCUUUACCAAUUGCAAUGAAUAUAGUCCUCCUGAGAGUAAAUUCUACAAA
RNAcentral lists this long non-coding RNA (535 nucleotides) under Homo sapiens (human). RNAcentral describes it as "non-protein coding lnc-TM2D2-6:1". The record is from RNAcentral. Lineage: Eukaryota; Metazoa; Chordata; Mammalia; Primates; Hominidae.